UCGAAACCUUAUGGUUCCUUUGAUCUUGARAAACCAACAUGCUUGUAAGACUUCAUGACUUUGUCCAUGAAGAGUUGGGAGUAUCAGCCCACCAUUUUAAUCCGUUUGGAGGUGUCUACGUACAACAUGAGACGUUUGCGGAUGGCGUCCGUGAUUGUUGUGCAAAGUUCGUGCAUCGUAAGAUGUGCUGAGCUAUAGACUUGAUGAGCACUGCUUGAGUGCCGCCUCUAUGUUUGUACUGGUGGUUGAGCAUUAGGCUGUCGCCAGCCUUCUGCAACACCUGCUGGUCAGGAAAUCUUAAUGACUCGCUUCGGCGAGCGCCAGUACAAAUGAACCUUUUACAUUUAACGUUUGAAGAUACGUGGCUUUCGAGUCACAAUCGACUAGCUUCAGCGAUGGAUCGGUCGAUUCGCGUAUCGAUGAAAAACGCAGCUAGCUGCGUUAUUUACCACGAAUUGCAGACGCUUAGAGUGGUGAAAUUUUGAACGCAUAGCGCCGUUGGGUUUUCCCUUCGGCACGUCUGGUUCAGGGUUGUUUUCAAUAUACUACAGUGUGGCCUGUUUAACACUGUUUGUCGAACGACGCUUGUGCACAUGUGCGCAGUCCUCGUUCUAGAUGAGAACUAUAUUGCAACAUGUACAUUUUUGAAUGUACACGAAUGUCUAGACCGUGUUGUCUCUGUCAAAUGUAUUAAGCGAGUAAUAAUACUUUGACGGGGCUUGUAUGGACAAUGCGUCAAGUCUAUGUCAUUUGCAA
RNAcentral lists this unclassified non-coding RNA (756 nucleotides) under Rugopharynx delta. RNAcentral describes it as "sequence contains ITS1, 5.8S rRNA gene, ITS2". The stretch from base 385 to 534 matches the Rfam family "5.8S ribosomal RNA". The record is from RNAcentral. Lineage: Eukaryota; Metazoa; Nematoda; Chromadorea; Rhabditida; Strongylidae.